UCCGUAGGUGAACCUGCGGAGGGAUCAUUACUGAGUGAGGGCUCACGCCCGACCUCCAACCCUUUGUGAACGUAACUUGUUGCUUCGGGGGCGACCCUGCCGUCAUCUGACGACGGGCGCCCCCGGAGGCCUUCAAACACUGCAUCUUUGCGUCGGAGUAAAAGUUAAUUAAACAAAACUUUCAACAACGGAUCUCUUGGUUCUGGCAUCGAUGAAGAACGCAGCGAAAUGCGAUAAGUAAUGUGAAUUGCAGAAUUCAGUGAAUCAUCGAAUCUUUGAACGCACAUUGCGCCCUUUGGUAUUCCGAAGGGCAUGCCUGUUCGAGCGUCAUUUCACCACUCAAGCCUAGCUUGGUAUUGGGCGCCGCGGUUUUCCGCGCGCCUCAAAGUUUCCGGCUGAGCUGUCCGUCUCUAAGCGUUGUGAUACAUAUUCGCUUCGGAGUGCGGGCGGCCGCGGCCGUUAAAUCUUUCACAAGGUUGACCUCGGAUCAGGUAGGGAUACCCGCUGAACUUAAGCAUAUCAAUAAGCGGAGGA
This 534-nucleotide ribosomal RNA is filed under the name uncultured Mycosphaerella. RNAcentral describes it as "eukaryotic LSU rRNA". The stretch from base 177 to 330 matches the Rfam family "5.8S ribosomal RNA". The record is from RNAcentral. Lineage: Eukaryota; Fungi; Ascomycota; Dothideomycetes; Mycosphaerellales; Mycosphaerellaceae.